AGAUUUUUAUAUAUAUCGAGCAGGAGGAGGCGAGAACGAAUCAUAUUCCUCGCCUAUUGCUUCUUCAAAACCCUUUCGCACCAGUGCUUCAAGGGCUUGGGGGGUAGUUGUUAUGCCCAAAUAUCAACUCAGUAGAUGAUUGCGUAGAUCUCGCCUCAAUUCACGGAAAAAGCCAAUCUCUGAGAUUGUCCUCGCCCAUUCUAUGGGCCUCGCCAUCUAUGAAGCCCAGGAAGUGAGGACCCAGUAACAUAUGGACCCAGGUCGACG
This 267-nucleotide long non-coding RNA is filed under the name Daucus carota (carrot). RNAcentral's name for it is "long non-coding RNA (DCAR_LNC002130)". The record is from RNAcentral. Lineage: Eukaryota; Viridiplantae; Streptophyta; Magnoliopsida; Apiales; Apiaceae.